GAGUUAAUAUUAUUGUUAAUAAACUUCUUUGGCUCUUUACAGUAACGAAAGAAAAAAUGAGAAAAGAUGCAUCUUGACUUUGCUUACCAGCAUCUGUGGCACUUUGUCCUGUACUUUGUCCUGAGUUUUGUAUUGGAUACUGGAAAGUGUUUUGCAGCCUGCAGCAUGUAACAGUAUAUGGAAGAGCUAUUCUGUGGAUUCUCCUCAAUGAGACAUCCAGGAUGGCUGCCGGUGACUGCAAGGAACUACAUGCAGUGGUCCAUAUGCCACAUUUCAGUGCUCGUUUCUGCAGAUUCUUUCCAACCAGCUUUUCAAUGUUAGUCUGACUAGACCAAGGUAAAGCAAUCCCCAUGCGAAACGCACUGAAAGCUUUCUUCUCUCCUCUUUCUCCUCAAGGCUGUGAAGUGGU
RNAcentral lists this long non-coding RNA (409 nucleotides) under Dromaius novaehollandiae (emu). RNAcentral's name for it is "lncRNA (ENSDNVG00000006342.1)". Lineage: Eukaryota; Metazoa; Chordata; Aves; Casuariiformes; Dromaiidae. The record is from RNAcentral.